Molecule: unclassified non-coding RNA, 474 nt
Filed under: Hevea brasiliensis (rubber tree)
Lineage: Eukaryota; Viridiplantae; Streptophyta; Magnoliopsida; Malpighiales; Euphorbiaceae
Source: RNAcentral
GAAAAAUCAAAGGGGAAUAAUGGAGGAACAGCCUUCUUUCUCAAUGCGUGAAGAAUUUCUUACAAUUGAAACACUGUUGGUGCACGAGGAGCGUGAUUGCCUUUCCUAAUUUUCCAAGGAAAUGAUACAUUCAGUGAUUGAUUCUCCUUGCAAAAUGAUUGAGACAUAUCACUCAUGAUACUUUAUUUCAGCAAGAAAUUAUGUGAUAAAGUAAGACCCACGUUAUUGCCAGAGACUGAGAAUGUGAUGAUAGGAUGCAGCAAUCAAGAAACAACUGUGGCUGAGGUAAAAUCUACCCCUUCUUGUCCUCCAAGCAUCCAUCACAAAAGAAAAAAGAGCAAUUCCUUUUGGAUUUAAGUCUUCAAUCGGUUACUGACAAUUUGAUACCUUAAAACAUUUCCUCGUAAGCUCCUCAUUGUUAUUUAAUGGAUAAAUUUUAAUAAUUGUAUUUGAAUUUAUAUGAUUAUAAUAUAA